Molecule: ribosomal RNA, 484 nt
Filed under: uncultured bacterium
Lineage: Bacteria
Description: partial 16S ribosomal RNA
Rfam family: Bacterial small subunit ribosomal RNA
Source: RNAcentral
GACGAACGCUGGCGGCGUGCUUAACACAUGCAAGUCGAACGAUGAAGCCGGAGCUUGCUCUGGUGAAUUAGUGGCGAACGGGUGAGUAACACGUGAGUAACCUGCCCUUGACUCUGGGAUAACUGCGGGAAACUGUAGCUAAUAUCGGAUACGACCCUCGGCGGCAUCUCCUGGGGGUGGAAAGAAUUUCGGGCAAGGAUGGACUCGCGGCCUAUCAGCUAGUUGGUGAGGUAAAGGCUGACCAAGGCGACGACGGGUAGCCGGCCGGAGGGGGUGACCAGCCACCCUGCGACUGAGGCACGGCCCAGACUCCUACGAGAGGCAGCAGUAGGGAAGAUUGCAGAACGGGCGCAAGUCUGAUGCAGCAACGACGCGUGAGGGAUGACGGCGUUCGGGUUGUAAACCUCUUUUAGUAGGGAAGAAGCGAAAGUGGCGGUACCUGCAGAAAAAGCACCGGCUAACUACUUGCCAGCCGCCGCCGUAA